This 314-nucleotide ribosomal RNA is filed under the name uncultured bacterium. RNAcentral describes it as "bacterial SSU rRNA". It matches the Rfam family "Bacterial small subunit ribosomal RNA", at positions 28 to 334 of the family's 1533-position model. The record is from RNAcentral.
GAUGAACGCUGGCGGCGUGCUUAACACAUGCAAGUCGAACGAGAGAAGAUCGGUGCUUGCACUGAUCCGAUCGAGUGGCGGACGGGUGAGUAACGCGUGGGUAACCUGCCUCAUACAGGGGAAUAACAGUUGGAAACGGCUGCUAAAACCGCAUAAGCGCACAGUAUCGCAUGAUACAGUGUGAAAAACUCCGGUGGUAUGAGAUGGACCCGCGUCUGAUUAGCUAGUUGGUGAGGUAACGGCCCACCAAGGCAACGAUCAGUAGCCGGCCUGAGAGGGUGAACGGCCACAUUGGGACUGAGACACGGACCCAA